This 460-nucleotide ribosomal RNA is filed under the name uncultured bacterium. Its description in RNAcentral is "partial 16S ribosomal RNA". It matches the Rfam family "Bacterial small subunit ribosomal RNA", at positions 338 to 795 of the family's 1533-position model. The record is from RNAcentral.
CCUACGGGAGGCUGCAGUGAGGAAUAUUGGUCAAUGGACGAGAGUCUGAACCAGCCAAGUCGCGUGAAGGAUGACUGCUCUAUGGGUUGUAAACCUCUUUUAUAAAGGAAUAAAAUGAGGCACGUGUGCUUUUUUGUAUGUACUUUAUGAAUAAGGAUCGGCUAACUCCGUGCCAGCAGCCGCGGUAAUACGGAGGAUCCGAGCGUUAUCCGGAUUUAUUGGGUUUAAAGGGUGCGUAGAUGGGUUGUUAAGUCAGUUGUGAAAGUUUGUGGCUCAACCGUAAAAUUGCAAUUGAUACUGGCAGGCUUGAGUACAUUUGAGGUAGGCGGAAUGCGUGGUGUAGCGGUGAAAUGCUUAGAUAUCACGAAGAACCCCGAUUGCGAAGGCAGCUUACGAAGCUAUGACUGACAUUGAUGCUCGAAAGUGUGGGUAUCAAACAGGAUUAGAUACCCUUGUAGUC